AACGAACGCUGGCGGCAGGCUUAACACAUGCAAGUCGAACGGGCGCGAGCAAUCGCGUCAGUGGCAGACGGGUGAGUAACGCGUGGGAACAUACCCUCCGGUUCGGAAUAGCUCAGGGAAACUUGGAUUAAUACCGGAUACGGCAGUCAAGAGAGAUCUUGGAGGCGAAAGAUUGUAUCGCCGGAGGAUUGGCCCGCGUUCGAUUAGCUAGUUGGUGAGGUAACGGCCCACCAAGGCGACGAUCGAUAGCUGGUCUGAGAGGAUGAUCAGCCACAUU
This 277-nucleotide ribosomal RNA is filed under the name uncultured bacterium. Its description in RNAcentral is "partial 16S ribosomal RNA". It matches the Rfam family "Bacterial small subunit ribosomal RNA", at positions 29 to 314 of the family's 1533-position model. The record is from RNAcentral.